This is a long non-coding RNA of Macadamia integrifolia, 427 nucleotides long. RefSeq lists it as uncharacterized. Lineage: Eukaryota; Viridiplantae; Streptophyta; Magnoliopsida; Proteales; Proteaceae. The record is from RefSeq and is a predicted model, not a curated record. The transcript has 4 exons.
AGAAAGAAGAAGAAUGGAAAAGAGGAAGAAGAAGAAAGAAGAAGAAGGGGAAGUUCACCAUAGAGCUUCGCUGGAGCUGGGUCUUGGUAUUUUGAGCCUGGAUUAAUGAUCAGCUCACCGAGGUCUUUGAUUUGAGGAUUUGAAAGGAGUGUUGGUGAAGAUCUAGAGUAUUUGGAGGUUCUUGAGAAAAAGAAAAGAAAUUUGGGUUUUCAUUGGAGUUCUUGGAAAAGAGGCUACGCUCAAUAUACGUGUACCCACACAUCGGAUCUUUUUUGUACCGGAUACAAGCACCGUGUACACAUACAAGUGUUUUUGCAGGUUAUCUGCCUGGCGAUCAGGAGCCAGGCCCCAUUGUGGAGUUUUCAUUUGAGGACUGGUGGGUCCCUAAUGAGUUCGGGUGUGGUGCCAAUUGUAAGUGCGAGGAUUG